AUGUUUAUUAUCAGAAAAUUCAAACAAGUACGGUCAGUGGCGGGUCCAUCGCUGCAUGGCAUCCCGCUGCACCCAGGAGCCGCAGUGCUUGGGGGCACGCGGGACGUGAGGGGAGCAGGUUACGAUGGGCUUCCUGCAACACCUGGAGAUUGGCGCUCGCUGCCGCCCUUCUGGAAGGUUCCACGCAGGGUGGGAACGCUGGCGGUGAGGUUCAAAAUUUCUAUUAAGUGGUGUUCCGUGACUGAGCAUAAGCUAGGAAGAGUGGGCAAUGGACCUUUCCAUUAAAACUGUGGAAUCCCUGCAGUAGGCUCUAGCCUUGGUCAAUAAGUAAUUGGGCAUUUUGCUGCUUUAUGACAGAGCCCUCGGGCAGGCAGACACUGAACACCCUUUCAUCCUCCUGACUUCAAAGUACUGCUCAGAACUUUGCAGAAACAGUCUUUUAAUUAGAUCUGUAAUUGAAACAUCUAUCGGACUAGCCUACAACAUCUUUUCAAAGUAUCUUGUAUGUAAUGUUGCAGCAAAUGAAUGUGAUUUUCCCAUGGAGCACAGUCUCAUGUUUAAUUAUCACAUCUCUUUAGCUUCCUGUAAGUGCACCUUUCAGCAGUUCCUUUUCAGAGAUGAUUAAACCCUAGUUUAUCUCACAAGUUGUACAUAUUUAAGAAAAUAUUCAAGGCUUUCAGAGAACUGGAAAUUAAUUAUUUUGUUAUAAAGCUGACCUUAGCAUUUUUGAUGUGGCCUACAGACUUGCUCCUUUUCAUUUAGAGGAGCUAAGGAAGUUGUGUUCAAAGAGCUAAAACUCGACCUGGCUUAGAGGACAUGGUAGGCAUUAAUAUAUAAAUGCUUUUGUGAACAUCCUAUAAAUUCUCUGCCUCUUUCAUACCCAACCUCGUUGCUUCAUGUUGCAUUAUAUCUGCUGAUAUUCUGGCAGUGCAGCUGCCAAGUGGACGAAGGAUUUUCAGAGUUAAAAACUUGAUUAACUGUAGUUUGAGUUUAAAAUUUUAUCACUAAAACUCUUCCUAUGGAAUUUUUACUCUGAAAACAAGUGUUUCCCUUACAUUAAAAAACUGUUUCCUUUAUAAUAAAAAGAGUUGCUUCUCAGAACA
This 1103-nucleotide long non-coding RNA is filed under the name Anser brachyrhynchus (Pink-footed goose). RNAcentral's name for it is "lncRNA (ENSABRG00000019757.1)". The record is from RNAcentral. Lineage: Eukaryota; Metazoa; Chordata; Aves; Anseriformes; Anatidae.